GCCCCUGUAGCUCAAGUGGAUAGAGCGGCGGACUUCUAAUCCGCAGGUUGUGGGUUCAAGUCCCGCCAGGGGCGCCU
Molecule: transfer RNA, 77 nt
Filed under: Chloroflexi bacterium RBG_16_64_43
Lineage: Bacteria; Bacillati; Chloroflexota
Description: tRNA-Arg
Rfam family: tRNA
About the family: Transfer RNA (tRNA) molecules are approximately 80 nucleotides in length. Their secondary structure includes four short double-helical elements and three loops (D, anti-codon, and T loops).
Source: RNAcentral